This 437-nucleotide long non-coding RNA is filed under the name Spirodela polyrhiza (greater duckweed). RNAcentral's name for it is "long non-coding RNA (SPOL_LNC002664)". The record is from RNAcentral. Lineage: Eukaryota; Viridiplantae; Streptophyta; Magnoliopsida; Alismatales; Araceae.
CAAUGGGUAACCCAGUAAUUCCGCUCCCUCAUUUCAAUGAGGAAAGGAAAGGUUGGAGGAGCCUUCCUCUCAAGAAUGCUCUUCUGAGAGCGCCUCGCUCGAGCUUCAUCAUCCCCUAGAGUGACAGUUUCCACUCCUCCAACCUGUUGGGUGAAAAAGAGAAAAGGAAUAAGCUUCUGGUUAAUAGUUUUCGCAAAAAAAAAACAUGCAAAAUUAAAUCCACAGAUCCAUCUGUCUAACGAUGAAAGUUCAAUAAAUCAAGUAUGAGGGAAAAAAGGGUGAACCAGGUCCGAGAGAGUGGGGUUCUUAAUGAUGUUCCCAAGCUGUUCCCCAUGUGCCGUCCCAAUGAGCAUGACCCCCCUCUCUGCAAUGGAUCGACAAGCCAUCGUCUCUGCUUCUGUGCCGAUCUCAUCCACAAUCACGACCUCAGGCAUAUG